RNAcentral lists this small nuclear RNA (331 nucleotides) under Sus scrofa (pig). RNAcentral describes it as "7SK RNA (ENSSSCG00070028633.1)". It matches the Rfam family "7SK RNA". From Rfam's summary of the family: 7SK was discovered as an abundant small nuclear RNA in the mid-70s but a possible function has only recently been suggested. Two independent studies have found that 7SK RNA binds the CDK9/cyclin T complex (known as elongation factor P-TEFb). The record is from RNAcentral. Lineage: Eukaryota; Metazoa; Chordata; Mammalia; Artiodactyla; Suidae.
GGAUGUGAGGGCGAUCUGGCUGCGACAUCUGUCACCCCAUUGAUCGCCAGGGUUGAUUCGGCUGAUCUGGCUGGCUAGGCGGGUGUCCCCUUCCUCCCUCACCGCUCCAUGUGCGUCCCUCCCGAAGCUGCGCGCUCGGUCGAAGAGGACGACCAUCCCCGAUAGAGGAGGACCGUUCUUCGGUCAAGGGUAUACGAGUAGCUGCGCUUCCCUGCUAGAACCUCCAAACAAGCUCUCAAUGUCCAUUUGUAGGAGAACGUAGGGUAGUCAAGCUUCCAAGACUCCAGACACAUCCAAAUGAGGCGCUGCAUGUGGCAGUCUGCCUUUCUUC